This 253-nucleotide ribosomal RNA is filed under the name uncultured bacterium. Its description in RNAcentral is "partial 16S ribosomal RNA". It matches the Rfam family "Bacterial small subunit ribosomal RNA", at positions 524 to 776 of the family's 1533-position model. The record is from RNAcentral.
GACAGAGGAUGCAAGCGUUAUCCGGAAUGAUUGGGCGUAAAGCGUCUGUAGGUGGCUUUUUAAGUCUGCCGUCAAAUCCCAGGGCUUAACCCUGGACAGGCGGUGGAAACUACCAAGCUGGAGUACGGUAGGGGCAGAGGGAAUUUCCGGUGGAGCGGUGAAAUGUGUAGAGAUCGGAAAGAACACCAACGGCGAAGGCACUCUGCUGGGCCGACACUGACACUGAGAGACGAAAGCUAGGGGAGCAAAUGGG